This 253-nucleotide ribosomal RNA is filed under the name uncultured bacterium. Its description in RNAcentral is "partial 16S ribosomal RNA". It matches the Rfam family "Bacterial small subunit ribosomal RNA", at positions 524 to 776 of the family's 1533-position model. The record is from RNAcentral.
UACAGAGGUCUCAAGCGUUGUUCGGAUUCAUUGGGCGUAAAGGGUGUGUAGGUGGCGCUGUAAGUCGGGUGUGAAAUUUCGGAGCUUAACUCCGAAACUGCAUUCGAUACUGCGGUGCUUGAGGACUGGAGAGGAGACUGGAAUUCAUGGUGUAGCAGUGAAAUGCGUAGAGAUCAUGAGGAAGACCAGUGGCGAAGGCGGGUCUCUGGACAGUUCCUGACGCUGAGGCACGAAGGCCAGGGGAGCAAACGGG